RNAcentral lists this ribosomal RNA (272 nucleotides) under uncultured bacterium. RNAcentral describes it as "partial small subunit ribosomal RNA". It matches the Rfam family "Bacterial small subunit ribosomal RNA", at positions 26 to 285 of the family's 1533-position model. The record is from RNAcentral.
AGAAUCAACGCUGGCGGCGUGCCUAACACAUGCAAGUCGAACGCGAAAGGGGCGCAAGUCCUGAGUAGAGUGGCAAACGGGUGAGUAACACGUGGGUGACCUGCCUUCGAGUGGGGGAUAACGUUCCGAAAGGAACGCUAAUACCGCAUGACAUCCUGCGUUUGGAAACGCGGACAUCAAAGCUGGGGAUCGCAAGACCUGGCGCUCGGAGAGGGGCCCGCGGCUGAUUAGCUGGUUGGUGGGGUAAUGGCUCACCAAGGCGACGAUCAGUA